UGUGAAUAGAGCUAUAACAGACCCUGAAAUG
RNAcentral lists this non-coding RNA (31 nucleotides) under Mus musculus (house mouse). The record is from RNAcentral. Lineage: Eukaryota; Metazoa; Chordata; Mammalia; Rodentia; Muridae.